This 1276-nucleotide long non-coding RNA is filed under the name Marmota monax (woodchuck). The record is from RNAcentral. Lineage: Eukaryota; Metazoa; Chordata; Mammalia; Rodentia; Sciuridae.
GAAGGGGGCAUUUGAGUGUAGUGGUUUCACGCAAAGACCCAGGUCCCUGAAAGCCAUGUUCCUAUCCUGCAAUGUUGCUCACGAGUGCUCUUAGCCUCCAUAUUUUUGAGCCUCAGUUUAUUUAACUGUGAACUGGGGAUACUAAUCCCUACCACAUGGGGUUGUGAGGACUGGCUGUUGCAUGCCUUGGAAUGCCUUGCUUUGCUCUUUUCCUGGAAUAUCUUGAUGUUCAGUGCUGGUGCAAACUUAUUUAUACAAGUGGCAGGAGUCUUACUUCAUCUCUUUCCUGCUUUAUCCAUCUGCUUGAUGGCACUGAAAGUUCUGUCCAUUCUAACCAUGCUAAUUGCUUAAAGAUCAGUUGGGAUGCUCAUGUAAAAAGCACACAAUUGGUUCCCACCCUGUUUUCUUCCCUUUUUUUAAUACUAAAGAUUAAACCCAGAAGCAUUCUAUCCCUAAGCUACAUCCCCAGCCCAGUCCUUUGUAUUUUGAGACAGGGUCUUACCAAGUUGUUGAGGCUGAUCUUGAACUGGAGAUCAUCCUACCUCAGCCUCCUGAGUCACUGGGAUUACAGGUGUGCCACCUUUUUUCCUUUUUGUAUAAUUCUGUGGGUUUGAGUAUCUUCACAGAGUACACAGUCAUCACCACUAACAGACUAUUUCCAUCACCACAGAAAGAAUCCUUGUAACCACUGGUCUCAGCUCCCCCACCCUGAACUGCUAACUCCGAAUCUGUUUCUCUAGAUUUUAUUUAUCUGCACAGGUGGGGGGUCUGGGGAGCUGGUGGGUGCUAUAAAAGUCCUGAAGUGCUAUAAGCCUAAUCACAGCAUCAGUCCUAUGGCUACAGAGUAGCUGGUGACGCAGAGCCCCAGAGAGGAGCCCAAUAGUUCUGGCCAUGGACUUGAGCCUGGAGAGGGGAAAGGGUACGUUACUAAUUACAGAGUGAAGAGGGAUGUGUGGUCACUAUGAGAAUGGAAGAGUUCUGAAACUGGAAUCAGGCCCAUAGAGCUCCCACCCUCCACCCUCCACCUGCUGGAUUCAACUGACCAUUCAACCUCUGACCCUCGAUUCUUCACCCAGAAGCAGAAGUUACCUGGUUUCUGGGGGUACAGCUCUGAAUACCCAGAAGAUGAGAUUGUGUCCAGUGAGGGCUCUGAGUCAAUUCUAUAUGUCACAGAGCAUGUAGUUUGAUCUGUUGUAAAUAAUGCCAUAAAAGUGCUACGGAUAUUUAUACCUGGUAUUGGGACAGAAAAGGUUUGUUGUCUAAGCUUUGAAGUUGG